GGGGUGUGCUCAGAGCAGGGGGCCUGAGGAGUGGCUCCUCUGUUUACAACACACCCAACAGGAAUCUCUGGUCUAUUGUGACAAAGGGAGGCACAGAACUUGUGGCCUCCCUACAAACAAAUGCCCCACACUU
This 133-nucleotide small nucleolar RNA is filed under the name Microcebus murinus (gray mouse lemur). Its description in RNAcentral is "Small nucleolar RNA SNORA11 (ENSMICG00000034584.2)". It matches the Rfam family "Small nucleolar RNA SNORA11". From Rfam's summary of the family: U107 (SNORA11) is a member of the H/ACA class of snoRNAs that guide the sites of modification of uridines to pseudouridines. Lineage: Eukaryota; Metazoa; Chordata; Mammalia; Primates; Cheirogaleidae. The record is from Rfam by way of RNAcentral.